RNAcentral lists this long non-coding RNA (297 nucleotides) under Micromonas commoda. RNAcentral describes it as "long non-coding RNA (MCOM_LNC000430)". The record is from RNAcentral. Lineage: Eukaryota; Viridiplantae; Chlorophyta; Mamiellophyceae; Mamiellales; Mamiellaceae.
CCGAGGUCGCCAAACUUCGCCUUGACCGGCUUGAACACCUGACCCUUGACGAUCUUUUCCUCCUUGCUCCAGCACCCCUUGACUACCUUGAUGUGCUUCACGCCGGUGGUGACGAGGUCGCCGGAGAAGGGCGACCAGUUGAUCCCGAGGAUCUUCUCGCGGUCAGCCUUGUACCAAGCGAGCAAAGUCUCUGUGCGCCACUCGUAGAUGGCAACCUUGUGCUCGUCGUCCUGGCCCACGCACGCCACGAAGUCGCCGCACGGCGAGAAGCACAGCGCGGUGACAGCCUUCUUGUGG